Molecule: ribosomal RNA, 297 nt
Filed under: uncultured bacterium
Lineage: Bacteria
Description: partial 16S ribosomal RNA
Rfam family: Bacterial small subunit ribosomal RNA
Source: RNAcentral
AGUUCCCUACGGGACGCAGCAGUAGGGAAUUUUCGUCAAUGGGCGCAAGCCUGAACGAGCAAUGCCGCGUGAACGAGGAAGGUCUUCGGAUCGUAAAGUUCUGUUGAAGGGGAAAAAGAGCGGAGAGAGGAAAUGGUCUCCGAUUGAUAUUACCCUUCGAGGAAGUCACGGCUAACUACGUGCCAGCAGCCGCGGUAAUACGUAGGGGGCAAGCGUUAUCCGGAUUCACUGGGCGUAAAGGGAGCGCAGGCGGCGCGGCAAGUCUGAUGUGAAAGCCCGGGGCUCAACCCCGGGUCU